AUACGGAGGGCGCAAGCGUUACUCGGAAUCACUGGGCGUAAAGCGCGCGCAGGCGGUCUUUUAAGUUGGAUGUGAAAGCCUACAGCUCAACUGUAGAACUGCAUCCAAAACUAUUAGACUAGAGUCUGGGAGGGGAAGAUGGAAUUAGUUGUGUAGGGGUAAAAUCCGUAGAGAUAACUAGGAAUACCAAAAGCGAAGGCGAUCUUCUGGAACAGUACUGACGCUGAGGCGCGAAAGCGUGGGGAGCAAACAGGAUUAGAAACCCCAGUAGUCC
RNAcentral lists this ribosomal RNA (274 nucleotides) under uncultured bacterium. RNAcentral describes it as "partial 16S ribosomal RNA". It matches the Rfam family "Bacterial small subunit ribosomal RNA", at positions 523 to 796 of the family's 1533-position model. The record is from RNAcentral.